AUGCGAGUUAUAGAAACUAGUCAUCCGGGAUCAAAGCAAGUUUUGUGCUUGUUUACACGGCCAGCAACAAGUGAAAAGCCGGUCUGGCGGCGUAGACCUCGGCCCUUGACUAUGUUGUAUCGUGCUAGCUUUACUGAACUUCUGUUUUUCACAGUUGCGUUUUUUAUUUUCCUGACUAUGACUGAGCUUUCUUUCACUUUUCCAAAUGGCGCUUUAGGAAACACAGCAUACAUUUCCUUCUGUAGCUUCCGUGUCCAUCCUGCGCUACCUGUCGCACCGCCCCGGGCUCGCGAUGGUUGUCCACUGAAGUGGGCGCCAGCGAAUGCUGAGCAGGCUGGAGAGACUGAGGCCCGCCUCGGCGUCCUGUGAUUGGCAGCCAGACGGGACUGAGGCCGGAUGGAGCCAAUGUCAAACGAGCCGGAAAGCAACACAUCAGAGGGAGAUGAGAAAGGGUGAGACGCCCGCCAUGUGUGUGUGUGUGUGUGUGUGUUCUACAUCUGCACUAACUUUGAUGUCAACUUGAAAGGAAAGAAGAGAUAAAAAUUGAUUGUGACAGAUGAAAGACUGAUGUUUUUACUGAUGGAUGAAUGGACGGAUACAAAAGUGCGUUAACACACCCUCACAGUUGAAGAGGACACACACACGUGCGAGUAUUUGUGUAGAGGAGAACUCACCUGAAGGGCCCAGUGGGCUGAUAUGAAUGAGAAAAGAAAAUGAUGGUUGAAUGCAAGUCAACAGUCAAAGCCAGCACUCCAGGAGGGGUUCUGGCUCGAGUCUAAAGACAUUUCAAAAGUGAUUCCGGAAUGUUUGGAAUCCUGAGACUUUAAAAGUUAGAGGGGCCUGACACAAGAGGUAGAACAGCAGUUUGUGGUGCCAUUUUCUUGAAUGUUAUUUUUCCAUCAUAUCACAAAGGCAUCUCAAAUAGUUCCUCGACUGCUCAUCACCAUUCCUGACAGUGUUUGUCCACUUCAUGGAAAACGUCUGAUGGCUGGGAGCCACAUUUCAGUUCUUUUCUUUGUGCUUCCCUCUCACACAUCUAGUCUGGGCUGGUAGGAUGGACCAAAUACGCCUCAGAUAUGUUUAUGCAGAAAAACUCACCCACUAUUUUAGCAAAAAAGUCUCCGAAAUCACAUUUACUGUAAGUCAGGGAUGUGUCUCCCCCCUCCUUCAGUAUAUAUUAGCAGAACUUCCCACCACCUAAAGGAUUUUACAACCAGUGAGGACACUUGGAUAAAGAGGUCAGUGUAUUCUCAUCAUUCAGACACAGAAUAAAGAAAGAUGACCUUGUCACCUUUUGUCAGGAUAAUCCCACAAAACUACUUAGUUGUAAUGCAAUAACCACCGGCCUUCUAGUGGAACCAGACCUUUGACCUUUGGCCACUCCGUUGCUAUGGUUACCCUCAUGUUUUUAGCCUCCGGUGUACCUGUGGUUGUAAUUGGGUUUGGCAGGGGUCCCGCUAGCUUGUCUGUAUUUGAUAUGCACGGGCGUAUCUGCACAGGUGGGCUUGAGGAAUUGAAAAUAAAAGCAUUUAUGUGUGUGAGUGUGUGUGUGUCAGUGUGUGUGUGUGAGUGUGAGUGUGCGCGCGCAACCUGCCAGCGUAGAUUAGUUUAGCAGAGAGAGCUGGAUUAGAAGCGCUGAGAGCAGAUGGAGCCACAGAACACAGACAACAGUUUUAGGAUGUGAUAGUCGAUGUGACAACAGCAGCGGAUUUUUGCCAUGUGCUUGUACGCAUGUGCACGUUUCCCUGCCAGACAGCACGCACGUGGACCUGCCUCAUGCCUCAGCUCCUCCCUACUGUAAAUUCCGACUCACUGAGUUUUUCUGGGAUACACACACAAGGACACAUGACGGCUGGAGUGCAGGGCGGGUGAAAAUGUGUUUGACAGGUUUAGGGGACGAGAUGUUUGAGUGAGAAAUUUAAUAAAAAUGUUGCAUUCAGACCCAAAUCUCGAAGAUCUAGGCGACCGUAUACCCUAAAGCCAGUGGCUGAAGCUGAAACAGCCUGCUUGAAUCAGCCGCAGCCUUCUCUCUCAUUUUCACAGUUCCAAUAAGCUACAGCCUAAAGAUAUGUUAAAGAAUAGUUUUUUUAAAUCUGCGUGAUGAUUGAGGGGAAAUAAAAGCUGCAGUACAGUCAAAGGUUAAAGAGUUUGACCAUCCCUUCGGACGGGCCUUUGUUUUAGAUUAUCUGCUGCUUCCAUUUGGUGCUUUCAACCUGAAGGGAGAAGUUAAGGGAGCAUAAAGUCAAACAGCAGCAACACAGGUCAAGGGGUGUGGUUAAACCCGGGUGAACACAUUAACAGGCCACAGACGCCCCUCACACAUCCACCAUGAGGGCUGGAUUUGGCUGCAGAGCCGAGAACAAUCACCACAAGAGUCAGACUCAGGACAGCGAGGAAAGCUGGGGACAAUGUGUUGACUGCUUUUGAAUCACCGCAAGCAAGACUUCGAACGUCACAUGACUGGCGUCCCUCUAAACGUGCACUACACUAACAGCACUGCAUGUCUCAAGUGCACGAUCGGGGUCCAUUGUGUGUAGAGUAGCAAAUACUGGAAUUACUUGUCUGGAAGCUACAGAGAGGGCUCAACGGGGUACAACACAAAUAAUUAUUACAAUAAUAGUUUAGAUUUGUGUGUGUGUGUGUGUGUGUGUGUGUGCCCCGCACAGCCUCUACGUGCGACCCACUUGCUGAGAUGGGGAGCUUUAUUGACUCUAUGCCAUUUUGUACAGUGUGAAUUUGGGAUUUGUUCCCUAUGACUGGAAGCAUGUCAGGCCGCACGCCAACGUUUCUUGUCGUGCACUGUGAGGACAGCAGCACACACACCUGCAGCGAUGCCUGAUGCUACCAACAGUUUUCGCGCAGGCCGGAUAAACCUCUCCAAUUAACAUCCAUAAGACCCAGCAGGUGGCGAGGAUUAAUGCAGCAUCCAUAUAUUAAGACAGGAGAGAGAAAGAGUCACGGCUCCCCGAGGUCCUCGGGUGUGUGUGAGAUGUAGGAGGACGCUUAAGAGAGCUGUAGUCACGAGCAACCACCUCUGAGCUUCAUAUUAAAUAAAUGCCGAGGACAGAAUUGGAAGAGCUACUCAGUUGACAGGUGUUUUCCUUCCAAAGCGGAAUUUGCAAAGCUGGAUUAUUAAAAUGACCGUUUAGGAAUAACAUGUCUGUGUCUUUCUUAUACAGUAUAUACAUGUCUAAACAUGAACAUCACAUGGUCUCAGAAGGCUGCUGGUCAGUCUUAAGGUGAACCAAGAAGCACCCCGGUGGGCAACUUUAGCCCUGGAAAAACUCUGAAGAAUCCUUUUUUUUAGACAGGAAAGCAGGACUGGAACCUCAGAACGGUCCCCUCCUCCAUUCUGUAGCAGAAGGAAGGGAUCAAAUUGGCCAAAGCUCACAUAGAGGUGGGAAAACAACAACAAAUCUCAGAUAUACAUGUUGUUGUGGAACUCAAACCAGGGGAAUCAGUAUUUCUGUGAGUCUUGGCAUCCUUUUGCUAUUUUGUUGUUGUUGUUGUUGUUGUUUCAACAGCUUCCUAACUCUGGGAGAGAACAUAGAACAAACCCCAAAAACACGUUGCUUUCUCCUUCUUCAUCCACUGAUGCGUCUGACAGAUAACUGACACUUUGGAAAUUGCCUCAAGGUGCUGCUGAACCUCCAGACUGACGCCUCAUAAAGUAUCGCAUCGUCAGCAAAAUGUCAGAGCUGCCGGUGGAAAUCAGAACCGGCGAGAGACGUGAAAGAAAAUGACAGAAUGUAAUCGACAGUUACCAUGUGAAUGGUUCAUGUAGAGUAAAGCAAAUGUGAGAGCUUACUGGGUAAGAAGCUCCAUAAGUAUCAUGAUAUCAGUGUUUUAAGCUGCUGUUGACCUUUAUUGGUAAUAUGUUGGAGGUAAAUGUUGCACUUUUACCUUUUCAAGUUUGUCCACGUCCCUUCAAAAAUUCAUUGGAAUACUAGAUUUGUUGGCCUACUUCAACAGUAUAGCAAAACUAAAUAUAAUAUGCAAACUUACAAUACUGCUUAUUACUGUCUGUAAUGAGUAUUUAA
Long non-coding RNA from Takifugu rubripes (torafugu), 4040 nucleotides. NCBI's taxonomy places the organism in Eukaryota, Metazoa, Chordata, Actinopteri, Tetraodontiformes, Tetraodontidae. The record is from Ensembl.